Mastomys coucha (southern multimammate mouse) is the source of this 590-nucleotide long non-coding RNA. RefSeq lists it as uncharacterized. The record is from RefSeq and is a predicted model, not a curated record. Lineage: Eukaryota; Metazoa; Chordata; Mammalia; Rodentia; Muridae. The transcript is spliced from 4 exons.
AGAGCAGUGAAAAAAUGAUUCAGGCCCCUUGUAGCCGUCAUCAUGCUCUAAGUGAAAACGACAGUCUCCUUUAAGAGACGAUAAACAAACCUCACAUCAGUAUGCAGUAGCAGCAGCAGCAGUUAACGUGGUGCACAAUCAUCGAGGCUUUCUCCUGGAUGAAGAAGAAAGACGGCAUCGUGUACGGGCUGAUGAAAACUUGAAUCGCCGUACACUGUCACCAGAUCAUUUGGAGGAGAGAUGAUAAAUGCCCUCAAGUAAGCCCUGGGAUGCUGUAUGUAAAUCUGAGAACUGCUCCAUUAGCAAAACUCUUCAAGAAUUGCAGUCAUUGCAUCUACUCUGUUCUCAUAAGGGAAAGAACCUCAGAGAACUUUAACUCCAUAGGAGAGGCAUGGCUGACAGAUGACUCCCCAACAUCUGUGUUAUGUACGCAGCACAGCUGAGGAGCCCCGGCUCACUGUCAGAACAUCACGAAGAUGACCUGCACAUUUAAGAAGCUGAUGCCUUCUUCUUAGCCCUGCCCUCCCCGCCCCAAAUGUAGAAAUAUCUAUAAUGCAAAUGGUGUGGUUUUAAACAAAAUACAAAAAUGG